Molecule: non-coding RNA, 27 nt
Filed under: Homo sapiens (human)
Lineage: Eukaryota; Metazoa; Chordata; Mammalia; Primates; Hominidae
Source: RNAcentral
CAGAAGAGCUGAAAUGGUGGUAAAAGC